Long non-coding RNA from Passer domesticus (house sparrow), 799 nucleotides. RefSeq lists it as uncharacterized. NCBI's taxonomy places the organism in Eukaryota, Metazoa, Chordata, Aves, Passeriformes, Passeridae. The record is from RefSeq and is a predicted model, not a curated record. The transcript is spliced from 3 exons.
UGAGCAGGGGGGAAGCGCCGUGUGACAAACAGCCAACAGGAGGGCAAUAUCAAGGAGGUGCAGAGAGUUAUUUGUUGCUUAAUGAAGAGCCUCUCGAGGCUGAAAAUUUACAGUGCUUUCACAGUUCAAUUUCGUUGGAGGAGGGAAUAAAAAUAAGCCUUGAGUGGAGCGCAGAGGAAGCGGCACAGACCCCGCAGACCCGCGGCCCAAAACUGGAUUGACAAGGGAAGGCUUGAGAACACCAGCCAGCCAAGAAAGGACUUGGACUGAAAAGAACAUUUUACAAAAGAUUGUUGAUUCUGCUGGGAUGAAUCAAAGCUAGAGCUGUAACAUUGAGGGAAGAGAAUUCAAACAGAAAGGCAAAAAUGAAGGAUCUGGGACAUACAACAAAUGCAUCACUUUAGGUAACACUGGAGGCAGUCUGUAAGUGCCUGUGAGAUGGGCAGACUCGGCCUUUAUGGAGUGCCUUUAUGGAAGUUUGAGCUACCACGUGUGGAAAACACCACCAAGAUUUCUACUCCAGCUGCUGCUUGGUGAGGAAUAAUGUAAACAGAGACUUCCCCAGGGAAUGAAGAUCUUGUUUUCAUGACAGCUUCUUUGAUUUUUUGUUAUUUAAAAAUAUAGAAAAAGGAAGGGAGUGUAAUUACACAGAAAUCUGGCUAAGGAUAAUUGCUAUUCAGAGCAUCCCACGAGGCCAAAAAAGGCCUUGGAGGGCAGCAUAUUUAACUCAAAACAGAAAUGCUGAAUAUGUGUGAGUAUUUUAUAAAUCACAGGUGUCACCUCAUCAGGGUCUUUUUUC